This 460-nucleotide ribosomal RNA is filed under the name uncultured bacterium. RNAcentral's name for it is "partial 16S ribosomal RNA". It matches the Rfam family "Bacterial small subunit ribosomal RNA", at positions 338 to 795 of the family's 1533-position model. The record is from RNAcentral.
CCUACGGGAGGCAGCAGUGAGGAAUAUUGGUCAAUGGACGAGAGUCUGAACCAGCCAAGUAGCGUGAAGGAUGACUGCCCUAUGGGUUGUAAACUUCUUUUAUAUGGGAAUAAAACGUUCCACGUGUGGGAUUUUGUAUGUACUAUAUGAAUAAGGAUCGGCUAACUCCGUGCCAGCAGCCGCGGUAAUACGGAGGAUCCGAGCGUUAUCCGGAUUUAUUGGGUUUAAAGGGAGCGUAGGUGGAUUGUUAAGUCAGUUGUGAAAGUUUGCGGCUCAACCGUAAAAUUGCAGUUGAAACUGGCAGUCUUGAGUACAGUAGAGGUAGGCGGAAUUCGUGGUGUAGCGGUGAAAUGCUUAGAUAUCACGAAGAACUCCGAUUGCGAAGGCAGUUCACUGGACUGCAACUGACACUGAGGCUCGAAAGUGUGGGUAUCAAACAGGAUUAGAUACCCGAGUAGUC